GAGUUUGAUCGUGGCUCAGGAUGAACGCUAGCGGCAGGCCUAAUACAUGCAAGUCGAACGGCAGCGGGUGCAGCAAUACAUGCCGGCGAGUGGCGCACGGGUGCGUAACGCGUAUGCAACCUACCUUUAACUGGGAGAUAGCCCGGAGAAAUUCGGAUUAAUACCCCAUAACAUAAUUGAAACAGCAUUGUUUUAUUACUAAAGAAUUUCGGUUAAAGAUGGGCAUGCGUGACAUUAGCUAGUUGGUAGGGUAACGGCCUACCAAGGCUACGAUGUCUAGGGGGUCUGAGAGGAUGAUCCCCCACACUGGUACUGAGACACGGACCAGACUCCUACGGGAGGCAGCAGUAAGGAAUAUUGGGCAAUGGAGCAACUCUGACCCAGCCAUGCCGCGUGAAGGAUGACUGCCCCUACGGGUUGUAAACUUCUUUUGUAUGGGAAUAAACCCGGUUAGUGUAACCGGUUGAAUGUACCAUAAGAAUAAGCAUCGGCUAACUCCGUGCCAGCAGCCGCCGCGGU
This 519-nucleotide ribosomal RNA is filed under the name uncultured Sphingobacterium sp. RNAcentral describes it as "bacterial SSU rRNA". It matches the Rfam family "Bacterial small subunit ribosomal RNA", at positions 9 to 524 of the family's 1533-position model. Lineage: Bacteria; Pseudomonadati; Bacteroidota; Sphingobacteriia; Sphingobacteriales; Sphingobacteriaceae. The record is from RNAcentral.